RNAcentral lists this ribosomal RNA (558 nucleotides) under Lecidea polypycnidophora. RNAcentral's name for it is "partial large subunit ribosomal RNA". It matches the Rfam family "Eukaryotic large subunit ribosomal RNA", at positions 78 to 651 of the family's 3401-position model. The record is from RNAcentral. Lineage: Eukaryota; Fungi; Ascomycota; Lecanoromycetes; Lecideales; Lecideaceae.
CCUCAGUAACGGCGAGUGAAGCGGCAACAGCUCAAAUUUGAAAUCCGACCCCUUCGGGGCCCGAGUUGUAAUUUGUAGAGGACGUUUCGGGUGCGGCGCCGGUCUAAGUUCCUUGGAACAGGACGUCGUAGAGGGUGAGAAUCCCGUAUGCGACCGGUGACCAACCCCAUGUGAAACCCCUUCGACGAGUCGAGUUGUUUGGGAAUGCAGCUCAAAAUGGGUGGUAAAUUUCAUCUAAAGCUAAAUACCGGCCAGAGACCGAUAGCGCACAAGUAGAGUGAUCGAAAGAUGAAAAGCACUUUGGAAAGAGAGUCAAACAGUACGUGAAAUUGUUGAAAGGGAAGCGCUUGCAACCAGACCUGCCCCUGGGCGAUCAGCCGUUAUUCUUAGCGGUGCACUCGUCCUUGUUCAGGCCAGCAUCGGUUCGGGCGGCCGGAUAAAGACCCCGGGAAUGUAGCUCCCUCCGGGGAGUCUUAUAGCCCGGGGUGCAAUGCGGCCAGCCCGGACCGAGGACCGCGCUUCGGCUAGGAUGCUGGCAUAAUGGUUGUAAGCGACCCG